AUAGGCGGCCAUAGUGGCUUGGUUCCAUCCGAUCCCAUAUGUUUGACAAAAAAACAGGGUUGUUCGAACUCGGAAAUUAAGCAAGCCCGCGUUCCGUAUUGUACUGCGCUCAGCGCGGGAAGUGCGGUUAGCUGCCACCU
This 140-nucleotide ribosomal RNA is filed under the name Candidatus Woesearchaeota archaeon. Lineage: Archaea; Nanobdellati; Candidatus Woesearchaeota. The record is from RNAcentral.